AUGGUGUCCCAUAGCUUUGGCGCCAUAUCUUCCAAGUCUGAUGUCUAUAGCUUCAGGAUGUUGUUGCUGGAGAUGGCCGGGGGGCGGAGGAACUUGGACCCACAAGCGUCAAGAAGCCAGACAUACUACCCGUCAUGGGUGUACAAUCAGCUGUCUCGGCAAGAGGUGGGUGAGAUCUCGGAGGCUGUUGGUAUCCAUCAGGUCGAGAGGAAGCUGUGCAUCGUUGCGUUGUGGUGCAUCCAGAUGAAGCCAGACGAUCGACCGGCCAUGAGCGAGGUGCUAGACAUGCUCAAAGCUGGCAUCGAUGGCCUGGAGGUGCCUCCCGAGCCUUUCUUCUGCGGGGACGAGUUUGCCCCUGCUGCAGAUUCUUCAGUAUUAUCAGAGAUAAGUACAUUCUCAGAGUGA
Molecule: ribosomal RNA, 405 nt
Filed under: Triticum aestivum (bread wheat)
Lineage: Eukaryota; Viridiplantae; Streptophyta; Magnoliopsida; Poales; Poaceae
Description: partial small subunit ribosomal RNA
Source: RNAcentral